GGUAGUGAUGCUCACAGGACUGGGAGGUCGGGACUCAAGAAUAACGGGACAAACAGGAUUACUGGGCCUCACUUUUCUCCUAGUGGUGCUCCGAGGGUUGCUCGGCCUCCCCUCAGGUCUGGAAGGCUGUACAUAAGACUGGACCAGGCCAACGGGGCUAACAGGCCGUCUAUUGGGGGGCCGAGGGUUGCUUGGCCUCCCCUCAGGUCUGGAAGGCUGUACGUCAGGCUGGACCAGGCCAACGGGGCUAACAGGCCGUCUAGUGGGGCGUCGAGAGUUGCUCGGCCUCCCCUCAGGUCUGGAUGGCUGUACGUCAGGCUGGACCAGGCCAACGGGUCUAACAGGCCGU
RNAcentral lists this long non-coding RNA (349 nucleotides) under Salmo salar (Atlantic salmon). RNAcentral's name for it is "lncRNA (ENSSSAG00000098993.1)". The record is from RNAcentral. Lineage: Eukaryota; Metazoa; Chordata; Actinopteri; Salmoniformes; Salmonidae.